Molecule: ribosomal RNA, 679 nt
Filed under: uncultured Ferruginibacter sp.
Lineage: Bacteria; Pseudomonadati; Bacteroidota; Chitinophagia; Chitinophagales; Chitinophagaceae
Description: bacterial SSU rRNA
Rfam family: Bacterial small subunit ribosomal RNA
Source: RNAcentral
AGUCGAGGGGUAACAUGGGUAGCAAUACCUGAUGACGACCGGCAAACGGGUGCGGAACACGUACGCAACCUUCCCAAAACUGGUGAAUAGCCCUCCGAAAGGAGGACUAAUACACCGUAACAUAACGAAGAGGCAUCUCUUUGUUAUUAUAGGCUCCGGCCGGUUUUGGAUGGGCGUGCGCCUGAUUAGGUAGUUGGCGGGGUAACGGCCCACCAAGCCUGCGAUCAGUAACUGGUGUGAGAGCACGACCAGUCACACGGGCACUGAGACACGGGCCCGACUCCUACGGGAGGCAGCAGUAAGGAAUAUUGGUCAAUGGACGAAAGUCUGAACCAGCCAUGCCGCGUGAAGGAUGAAGAUCCUCUGGAUUGUAAACUUCUUUUAUCUGGGACGAAAAAAGGGCAUUCUUGCUCACUUGACGGUACCAGAGGAAUAAGCACCGGCUAACUCCGUGCCAGCAGCCGCGGUAAUACGGAGGGUGCAAGCGUUAUCCGGAUUCACUGGGUUUAAAGGGUGCGUAGGUGGGUUGGUAAGUCAGUGGUGGAAUCUCCGAGCUUAACUCGGAAACUGCCAUUGAUACUAUCAGUCUUGAAUUUUCUGGAGGUAAGCGGAAUAUGUCAUGUAGCGGUGAAAUGCUUAGAUAUGACAUAGAACACCCAUUGCGAAGGCAGCUUACUAC